Molecule: RNA transcript, 663 nt
Organism: Ipomoea nil (Japanese morning glory)
Lineage: Eukaryota; Viridiplantae; Streptophyta; Magnoliopsida; Solanales; Convolvulaceae
Exons: 4
Source: RefSeq, a predicted model, not a curated record
AACAGACUCCCCAUGCCUUCACUCAACCAAAAUAUAAAACGCUCCUGCCUCUGUGGACGACGUAGCUCAGCAGAGAACCAAACACUUCCCACCUCUGGACGAUGUCGUUCCCGCUCUUGCCUCCGCCGCUGUCUCAGCCUUCUCUUCGUCGUCGCUCCCGACUCCGCCCGACUCCGCCGCUGUCUAAGCCUUCUCUACGCCGUUGCUCCCACCUCCUCCGACGUCUAAGCCUGCACCAAAGUUUCUGCCAUUGUCGUCUUUUCCCGACUCUACCACGGUCUCCAUCACCAUCCUACAGGUUAGUCCUCUAAUCUUAAACCCUAAUCCUUAAUUUCCUAAUUCUAUUGAGCAAACCUGUGGCUACUUCCUAGGAGCGGCGUGAGCAGAUCGGCGUGAGGGAUGAGGAGAUAAGAAGACCGCCAAUUUCAAUCACUCAUUUCAAAAUGCGAGGCCGAAAGACAAGAAAGGGAGAAGACCGCCUAGGAUUCAGCAUCCACCUGCAACACCGAAGAAGAAUCUGUUUGAUGAUGUUCCUCUGCAUAGAUGUGAGGGCAGUGAUCACUAUAAGGAAGAAGAUUAGGAAGGGGCUUGUUGACAAGAUUGAAGACCAGUGAGUAUCUUCCAUCAAUGGGAUUGGUAGAGGAAUCUUGAUGACCGAUCUUC